UCCGGUUCAACACCGGCAGUCUCCUUAGAGUCCCCAACUUAAUGCUGGCAACUAAGGACAAGGGUUGCGCUCGUUACGGGACUUAACCCAACAUCUCACAACACGAGCUGACGACAGCCAUGCAGCACCUGUCUCUGCGCUCCUUUCGGCACUCCCAACUCUCAUCGGGAUUCGCAGGAUGUCAAGGGUAGGUAAGGUUCUUCGCGUUGCAUCGAAUUAAACCACAUGCUCCACCGCUUGUGCGGGCCCCCGUCAAUUCAUUUGAGUUUCAACCUUGCGGCCGUACUCCCCAGGCGGAGAACUUAUCGCGUUAGCUUCGAUACUAAUAGGUUCCCCUACUAACAUCUAGUUCUCAUCGUUUACAGCGUGGACUAC
Molecule: unclassified non-coding RNA, 375 nt
Filed under: uncultured Gammaproteobacteria bacterium
Lineage: Bacteria; Pseudomonadati; Pseudomonadota; Gammaproteobacteria
Description: contains 16S-23S intergenic spacer region
Source: RNAcentral